UCUAAACAAUUGUUUUUUAGAAAGUUGAAUUUUAUUCAAGCAAAAUGACAAGAUACAGCAACCGGUGGCACUGGGCACACCCAGAGAUUAGGAAAAGAAAAGUACAAAGCAAAAAUGAAGAAAAAUAACAUAGCAACAGAAAUUGACAGCAGGUAAACAACAUCUUUAGAAGGUUAAGCAUUGAGAGCCAGUAUUCCCUGGAGCCAAAUAGACAGAAAAAAAAACCUUGCAGCAGAGGACACAACUCGAAGCUAUUGGUCUGAAGAUUAAUUUUUCCAAAAAAAAAAAGCAUUUUUAACAAAUUCAAACCCAUCCUCACCUCCAAUUUCAAAAUUACAACGAAACAAACAGAACCCUAAACACAUUUUUCAAUUCGCGUUCUUACCUCCUCUUCUGUCUCUCUGCAAUUGCCUUCUUCAACCUUCUCCAGCUUCAAUUUCAGAGCUUCAAUCCAACCCAAUUAACCUUUUCCUCGCAGAUGCAUAUCUAGAGUUGCAGAGGGCUCUGGUGUUGGCUGGUGACGAACGAAUCGAUAAGAAGCAUGCCUUACCUCCACGAAGGGAUGAUGACCGCGACGACCAUUAUGUGUAUCAUCUCGGCGAAAAUCUCACUCCUAGAUCCAAGCACCCUGCGUGCAAAACCCUCACUCUCUCCCUCUUAUUCUCUAUCACAACUUCCCCCUUUCUUCCCUAAACAAAACCCUAAUUCCUCUCCCCCCUCUCUCCUCCAAUGGCGAAAUUCAUCAGCCCAAACGCCAUCCCCUGACUCUUCCUCAGAUCUCCCCGAAAUCAUCGUCCAAGUCGUCGAUCUCAAGCAAAGUGUUGCUGGCAUUGUUUUGAAGCCCAGGGAGGAUUAUGGAGUCAAGAGCGAAGCUGCUGUUGCUGCUACUGGGUUCUUAGUUCUCUCUUUGAGAUUUGGAUACAAUUUUUUUGUUUUUUUAGCUUUUAAUUUUGCUGAUCUCGUUAGUUUAUUUUCAUGGAGGAUGAGGGGAUUUUGUGUUCUAUGAAAGAAGAAGGUGAGAUUGAGGAUGAAGAUAAAGAUGAAGAUGAGGUUGAAGAUAAUUAGGUGAUUUUUUGUAAUUUGAAUUAAUAAAUUCAAAGUAUUUUUAUUUUAUUUU
Molecule: long non-coding RNA, 1117 nt
Organism: Lotus japonicus
Lineage: Eukaryota; Viridiplantae; Streptophyta; Magnoliopsida; Fabales; Fabaceae
Exons: 2
Source: RefSeq, a predicted model, not a curated record